GCUUGUCUCAAAGAUUAAGCCAUGCAUGUAUAAGUAUAAACGCUUUAAGCGUGAAACCGCGAACGGCUCAUUACAACAGCUAUAAUUUACUUGAUCUUGACAAACUUACAUGGAUAACUGAGGUAAUUCUUGAGCUAAUACAUGCACCAAAGCUUUGACCGUAAGGGAAGAGCGCAUUUAUUAGAACAAAACCAAACGGCUUCGGCUGUUCCCAGUUGAAUCAGAAUAACUCAGCUGAUCGUACGGUCUUGCACCGACGACGUGUCUUUCAAGUAUCUGCUUUAUCAACUUUCGAUGGUAGGGUAUCUGCCUACCAUGGUGGUGACGGAUAACGGAGGAUCAGGGUUCGACUCCGGAGAAGGGGCCUGAGAAAUGGCCACUACGUCUAAGGAUUGCAGCAGGCGCGCAAAUUACCCACUCUCAGAAUUUGGAGGAGGUAGUGACGAGAAAUAACGAGGUUGAUCUCUUCUGAGGCCAACCAUCGGAAUGGGUACAAUUUAAACCCUUUAACGAGUAUCUAUGAGAGGGCAAGUCUGGUGCCAGCAGCCGCGGUAAUUCCAGCUCUCAAAAUGCAUAGAAUUAUUGCUGCGGUUAAAAAGCUCGUAGUUGGAUCUGCAGCCGGGGCUCCGGUCCAUCUUCGGAUGUGUACUGGGUGUCCCCGGCUUUCUGACAGUGUUCGGCUCUGUGCCUCUAACCAGGUGUGGAUGUCCGAUACUGUAAGUUUACUUUGAAUAAAUCAGAGUGCUCUAAACAGGCGUUUUGCUUGAAUGAUUGUGCAUGGAAUAAUAGAAGAGGAUUUCGGUUCUAUUUUAUUGGUUUUAUAGACUGAGAUAAUGGUUAACAGAGACAAACGGGGGCAUUUGUAUGGCUACGUGAGAGGUGAAAUUCUUGGACC
Molecule: ribosomal RNA, 895 nt
Filed under: Pratylenchus penetrans
Lineage: Eukaryota; Metazoa; Nematoda; Chromadorea; Rhabditida; Pratylenchidae
Description: SSU rRNA
Rfam family: Eukaryotic small subunit ribosomal RNA
Source: RNAcentral